RNAcentral lists this long non-coding RNA (1477 nucleotides) under Macaca mulatta (Rhesus monkey). RNAcentral describes it as "lncRNA (ENSMMUG00000064131.1)". Lineage: Eukaryota; Metazoa; Chordata; Mammalia; Primates; Cercopithecidae. The record is from RNAcentral.
CUUCUGGGGGUGGAGUGGGGGGAACGGGGACUGUUAAAUUAUCAGUGAUCAGCUGUUGCCUUUUUUGCUACAUUUCCUCUCCAAGUUGCUAUUAGAAAAACCAUCCUGGGGUCCCCGAGCCCAGGGUCCAGAGUGAACACAGCCUUCCUUGCCUCCCCGAGAGCAAGGAAGAAACCCCUCCAGUUUUCUGAAAUUAGGGCCCAAAGAGGAAAAGGGGACAUGAGCAAGUUCUGUGCAUCGGCUGCAAGAUAAGAAAGACGACCGAUAAUCCCAACGUUUUGGGAGGCCAAGGCGGGCGGAUCACCUGAGGUCGGGAGUUCCAGACCAGCCUGGCCAACAUGGUGAAACCCCGUCUCUACUAAAAACACAAAAAUUAGCUGGGCGUGGCGACGCCUGCCUGUAAUCGCAGCUACUCAGGAGGCUGAGGCAGAUCACCUACACCCGGGCGGCAGAGGUUGCAGUGAGCCGAGAUCGCGCCAUUGCACUCCAGCCUGGGCAACAGGAGCGAAACGCCGUAUCAAAAAAUAAAAAUAAAAAAAGAAGAAAGAAAGAAAGAGGACAGAGAGGGCAAGGACACCACAGACAGGAGGAGAGGAGUCCAGCUCACUCCCCCUGGCUGGUUGGGUGGUGUGUUCUGCGAGUGUGACCCAUGUUGGCCAACAGAGGACAGCAAAAUACAUUUUUUAUGAUCCUGGGAGGUUCAGGCCAGUCACGUUUUCGCGCAGAGAGGCGGGGCGGUGGAGAGGGACAAGUCAUGUCUCAGUUAUGUGGAUUCUCUUUGCGAAAGAGGGGCCACUUCUGCAAUGGAUUUGGGGGUCCCUGGGCAGGCGUGUGGGUGGGGCAGAUUUUAGGAAGGGGAUGAGCUGCUGUGGGGGCGUCUCCCUUACUGCGGGAAAUGGAAAGUAUUACAGCUAUGGCUGGUGAGAGUGUCAGUGCCAGAGGCCAGGUCUUUGCCAGGUGGAGAGGACACCCUUAUGCCCUACCCCCAAGUUCCAGCACCUCUCCAAGAGCCCUUGGCCCCGGAAGCAGCAACAAAGUGACACUGGACUGGGGAGGAGGAAGCACAACUUUAUUUUCUGGCCCGAAGUAUUCCUCGGGGGUCCCUGGGCCAGAAAGACAUCAGCUCGGAGUUCCUCCAGCAACUCAAAGAAGAGAGAAAGCUGAUCCCCAAACUCUCCCGCUAUAGCGCCUUCUGGGUCCCGGGUGGAUGCCUCUUGUGCUGAGAACUGGUUAUCGCUCUGAAAAACUGAAAGACGCCAUGCGCAGACACUGGUUGCUAAACGUGCUUUUGCCCUCCAGGGGCAGACACUGAGAUCCGGCCUGGGAAAGCCGUCCAGCUGUCAGCGUCAGCGUUUGCUCUGGGGGGUUGGUUGUCGGGGGAGGUAGGGAAAGUGAAAAGAAACAAGUGUUACCUGUUUGACGAGGCCUGGUCCUUGCAGCCAGGGCCUCCGGGAUCAUCGCCUUGGCAGGGGGCCCU